RNAcentral lists this long non-coding RNA (6778 nucleotides) under Brassica napus (rape). RNAcentral's name for it is "long non-coding RNA (BNAP_LNC016176)". The record is from RNAcentral. Lineage: Eukaryota; Viridiplantae; Streptophyta; Magnoliopsida; Brassicales; Brassicaceae.
GUAGACAAGAGCUGGUGCCGCAAGAACGGCUAGACAGACUGUGCAAGAGCUCGAAUGGCUGUUUGACAAGCACAAACCUCUUACGAAUCAUACUAUUGCGAGAACCCUACAACUAGAAGUUCCUUGAAUGGCGAUUACUCAGCUCUACUGCUCCAAUUUGAAGGCUGGUUGUUGCAAGGACAGAGGUGUUGGGAGGCGAGGAAUGUUAAGAAAUCCGGCGAGCUUAUGGGUGUGGAUUUGGUGUUCCUCGAUAAGAAGGUAAAGAUCCUUGAAAGGUUUUAUUGUAAUUACUUUAACAUCUUGCCUUUAUAUAUAGUUUUUUUUUUUGUAAACGAUUUGUUGCCUUUAUAUUUACCAUUGAGACCAACGAGUUCAUCCUUUUUUCAGCUACCUUGAUCCACGGUUCUAUACUUCUAUUGGUGCUCAUAGACUCAACACUUUCAACCACUUGCUGAGGGAAGGGGUCAUCUAUGAGUCGAGCAAAUUCCAAAACAUCAACAUGAACGGCUACAGGCUUACCAUCUGCAGCAUCAGCAGAAACAUAUACAUCACGCUGAUAUUGUACGUAGGAAGUGGAUAAGUUUGAGCUUUGAUAACUCGAGUUGUACAUCGCUUAGUGCCUUAUGAAAGGAGAUGAGCAUGGAAGCAGCAAAUGUGGAAGCUCUAGACGAGGCCACUGCUCUAAGAGAACGUCAGAUGUAUAUUUUUGUAUUUCAUUUGACAGCCUCACUUAAUAAUUAUUGGGCAUUUAAAAGCCAUGUUUGAAAUUGACAGGAAAUAUCGGGUAGGAAAUCAGAGUGCCUCCUAUAAGUAACAGGGUUGCAGAUAUCCCUCUUGGGAAAAUAUGGUCACAAACCCAUUUAUGGAUUUCCUUAUCGCAGGUAUUUACUUAUCUUGAUCACUCUCUUUCAGUUGAUAAACACAUACUAGCAAGAAAAAGGCUCUAUGAUGUGUAAAGUAUGAGUCUUUUUGAUGUUGUGUUCAAAUUGCAGGGGAUAUUUUAAAUGCGGUAGCAAGACAGAUUGUCCUUAUAGGAACCACAUAGAAAGAUGUUUGGAAGAUCCGGCAAUGCCGUAACAACAUAACUUUCAUUUAUCAUCUGUGUUCUCUCCAAUGUGCAUGAUGAUAGAUGGGUCUUGAUUCUGCUCCAAUAUUGUGUGAUAAAAUGAUGGAAGCAGUGCUUUUAGUUCGGUGGAUUUGCGCAUGAGAGAGUUUACUGCUGUUGGUUGGUUUGGUUUAAGGGGUAAACGAAGGAUUUGUAAAGACCUUUGUUCUUAUUCCUAUCAAGUUUAUUUCUUUUAAUGAUUCGCAAUUUUGUAGCAGGGUCACAAAGAAAUCAAAUUGAGUAAACCAAACAAAGUAUAUAUCCAGAUCAUUUGAUGUUUUUAAUAACACGAACCAAUUGGUUUAAAACUAAAUUAAAAAACACACACACUGAGAAACCAAUGUAGCUUUAUUAGUUAAGAAUAAGACUAAGUGUUUUCCUGCACCAAGUAAGGAAUUUUUUAAAUAUAACUUAUAUUUAAAAAUAAAUUUUAUUAAAUAUUAUAGAUUUUACUAUUUUUUACUAAUAUUUAAUAUAUAUUUGAUAUAUAUUAAAUAAAUUUGUAUCAAACUAAUAAAAUGAUAUAAAAUUGUAUAAUUAUAAAAAAUUUGGCCUAAACAAUAUUUAUAAAAUUUGUAGAUAUAUAAAAAACUAAUGAUCUUACGAUUAGAUAUUUAAAUUUUUUUAAAGUUGUAGAAAUUUUUUAAAACUUUAGUAAUACAAAAUAAUAAUAUUUUGAAAUUUGAAAUGUUAUAUUUGAAUAUAUUUAUUUUAUAAAUGAUGUAUGAGCUAUUACCAUAUUUAAAAAAAGUUUACCAAAAAGAAAUAUCAAUAUUGAAUGUAAUAUAUGAAUUAUUACUAUAUUCUAAUAAGUUUGCCAAAAAUAUAAAUCAACAUUCAAUGAAAUUAUCCAUGUCUUAUUUUUCUAGAAGUCAUGUCAUCAAUUUCAGUAAUCAUGUCAUUUUUAUUUUGUUAAAUUGAUUAUAAAAAGGACAUGUGGCAAAAUCACUUCGCAAAUAUAGUGUAGGGGAUAUUAAUGAUAUAAAAAUAUUGUCACUAGGUAAUUCAAACUUUCGAGAACCCCUAUAAUCACCUCCAUCUGUAAACGAAACCAUAGCUUCCGUUAAGUGCAUAUUAUAGUCAAGACAAAAAUUCAAAAACAGUUAAAAGUUUUACGACUGCAAUGGAUAGUUAAUUAAUUCUCAAACAGCAUAACCAACUUCGCCCAUCCCAAUUUAUAUUGAAUCAACAUAUUAUCAUAACAUUCUUAACAGGUAAAUCACCUUUUAACUGCUUCAAUACAAAUUAACGAAUAAUAUGUGAUCAAAAUGGAUGUUGAAUACUACAAACAAAAUAUAGUCACGAACUGAUCUUUUCAUGCUUCACUUAAUACGAGUAUGUGGAGAGUGUGGCUGCAAUAUCAAAAACACACUACAACAAACAUAUCAACUCUGCAGCUAUGUUCGUGUACACCACAGACACGAACGUUGUACUAAAAACAAUCUAAUUCAAGCCAACUUUCACACCUCAAGCUCUAGCCGCCGACAAAUUUUACAUCGUCUCCAAUACAAGCAUAACGGCCAACCCCACAUCAACAUGGGUUCAGAGAAACUAACACUGUGGAUUUGACUUUUCUAAGUACCCAACGAACAUAACCCAAAACAAACAACUACUCCAACAACUUACUAAUAAAAAGAGAUAAAUGGGUUUCAAAGCCACCACCAUGGACACUUAACAUAACUCGAAUGCACAAUGGUAACUUUAACCGCAUUCAGCCCACACCGACAUAUACGGUCAUAUAAAACAUUAACGAUCAAACCAACAACAAAUUCCAAUGUCACAAGACAUCUUACAACCAAAUCAUGGACAUCCCCACCUAGCAAUCUAAGAUUAGUGAUCGUACACUCAUGACAACACUAUAAAGAAAUAAAGUUUUAUCACGUACCCAAGCAUCACAGACACAACAAAAACCAAUCACUCACAACAAAGACGUACACAAAUAGACACCAUAUAUAGACCAUACGAAAAGAUGACAUCCCGCACUCCGCGCGGGCACACCCCUAGUUGUUUAUAAAAGACGCAACCCAUAUAUGACUUCUGAUUUUCUCAUGUAACACUGUUUCUAAUACUUACUUUGUUCAAACAUCAAACACCAUUUAUCUUACCGGCAACAAUGAAUCUCCUGAACUCCGAUGAUGCCUUAUUAAUGAUUAACACUUUAUUGAACUCCUCCGAUUUGUGGCCAUUAGAUCCGGCGAAUCUCAGCCAGCUGCCACUAGCUCCGACGGCCAUUAACUCCUCCUCCGAUUUGUGGUCAUAUGUUCCGGCGAAUUUCGGCCAGAUCCAGUACGAGGAAAGCAACAUUUCAGCCAGCGCCGUAAAGCUCGAGGACUCAGCUCACUUUAACAUUGAUGCCAAAACGACGCCGGAAAAGAAACGCGGGAGAAGACCGACGCACGGUAGAGAAGAGCCGAUGAACCACGUGGAAGCCGAGCGGUUGAGACGCGAGAAGCUAAACCAGCGGUUCUACGCGUUACGAGCGCUUCUGCCAAACGUAACGAAAAGGGAAAAGGCGUCGAUACUUGAAGACACGGUUACGUACAUUAACGAACUGAAAGUAAACGCGGAAAACGCUGAAUCGGAGAAAAACGCGUUUGAGAUCCAGCUCAACGAACUCAAGGAAAAGAUCGCAGGAAGGAGAAACGGGAGUUCUAGCGUUUGUGGCGGCGGGGAAAAGACGCCGGAGAUUGAGGUGAAGAUCGACGUGAAGGUUAUGGAUCGUGAUGCGCUGAUUAGACUGGAGUCGAGCAAGAACAACCAUCCUGGAGCGAGACUAAUGAAUGCGUUUAUGGAUUUGGAGGUAGAAGUGAAUCACGCGAGCAUCUCGGUGAUGAACAAUCUCAUGAUUCAACAAGUGACGGUGAAGAUGGGGUCGAGGGUUUACAAGCAAGAGCAGCUCCGGGACUUGUUGUUGUCGAAGGUUAAUUAGCGAUUAAUUUUGGGAUUUGUUGAGGUUUAUGAGGUUCAACUUGUAAUUAAGCAAUUGUACUUUGUUUGUCUCAUCAUGCUUCCCAGCCGUUUGGAUUAGAUUUUGUGUACGUCCCCUUGGUAAUGAUAUGGAUAUGGAUAUGGAUAUGUAUACGUGGUACUCAUAGAUUCACUAGUAAGCCCCCAUAAAGAAGGAUAAGCCAUAGCUAACUAAAAAUCUAACCGCUGGUGAAAAAUGAAUUGGUUGCGACGUGGUUGGUGUCGGAGAUUCUUCUUCCGAAUAAUUCUUGGCCCACCAUAACAGGAUGUCGCUUCAUCAUUUUUAAUGGUUUUUACUAUAUCAACAAAUAUGGAGCCAAUAAACCCCAAAUGAAAUCUAAAAAGGCAUCUGUAAAAAUCUUGGCCUGUGGUAGGGUGACAGGUCGGAGAUAUGAUAGGCCAACAACACAUUUUUAAAUUUUUUUCCUUUUUUUCCGAGAGAAAGUUUUUUUUUUUUUUUUGUUCAACCUUCGAGAGAAUAGUUUGCUGAUAGAACGUCGUCAGUCACCUAUAUUUAACAACUUCUUAGGCUUAGUUAGAAGUAAAGCUACAAAGUAAGAUUUGUAUACGUACACUUGAACAUAUGGCAAAUGACUUAAGGAAGAAGGAGAGAUGUGGGACUUGGCUCAAAAGGAUGAGAGCCGGAUGGAAUGGAAGUGAAAGGUAUACUCUUUGUAUCUAAGUUAACUAUCUGUACUUAAUUUCAGUUUGUGCCUUUGGUUAGGUGAAAGAUUAGUUUAGGCGAUUAUUGGCGUAAACCAAUACACAUGUCUCUGUUAUGGACGUGUGUAAGAAAGUCUGUAAAACGGCUAAAUUAUAAAGUCAUUUUCACUUAUAAUCCUAAUAGAUUUUUUUUAUAGAAAAUGUAAUCCUUUUUUUUUGAGCAACCGAAAAUGUAAUCCUAAUAGUUGAUUGUAAGAGAAAUGCACAUAUUGGACCGUCAUGAGAUUUCAGGAACUAUAGACAAUUUAGUUAAAAAAAAUGGAGGGGAUUGGCUGGGUUUUGUCUAUCUACUUUAACUUUAUUUUUUUCUAAAUCAUUAAACUUUACCAAUCAUGCUUUAGCUUUACUUUUCAAAACUAAAGCCUACAUUACUUUUAAUUCUCAUCCUUAUCUGAGAAACCAUGAAAUAAGUCGGAUUAGAUCAAAAUCGAAACAUAAAGCAAUAGAUCGAGCAUCCACUUUCUCAUCCAUAACUCGGACUUGGAGUUGAAGAAAGGAAGUGUUAAGUUGAGGGAGUGAGUCGGUGAGACAACCCAAUGAGGAAGCCAUCCUCGUCGUCCCUGCCUUCCUUAUCAGUCAACAUCCAGCUUUCGAAUCAGCAAGAAGAAGGUGGGAAGUCGGCCGUUGAUGGAGUUCAUGCAAAACAGAGACUAAAACCGAUUGAAUGCAAAGGAGUGGGAUCAUUGGUCGAGACCACAUAUCUUAUACAAUAAAGGAGACUUGCCUCUCUCCUUAGAGUGCCAAAUCAUCGAAGAAGGAGAGGCAAAUCAGGACACGUGUCUGAUUCUCUAAAAGCGAUUGUAGUUCUCGAUUUAUAACUUUACACGAUUUGUACUUGCAUGUUGGGCUAUUAUUUAAGAGCUUAGCCCAGUUAAAAUAAUAAACAUCCGACCCACUAAUAAAGUAGGUUACAAGCAAGCGUCUUCUACUUCUUCAUUGUCGACGCAACCAUCAAAUCUUCUCCCCUCAAUUCCGUCAAUGGAGUAAAUCAGUAUCAAUGGCAUGCAAUUAAUUCACCGUACUUUCUCCUCAUCAAUCCAGACUUUUCACCUCCCCCAUCAACCGAAUCAGCUACUUUAUUAGUGGGUCGGAUGUUUAUUAUUUUAACUGGGCUAAGCUCUUAAAUAAUAGCCCAACAUGCAAGUACAAAUCGUGUAAAGUUAUAAAUCGAGAACUACAAUCGCUUUUAGAGAAUCAGACACGUGUCCUGAUUUGCCUCUCCUUCUUCGAUGAUUUGGCACUCUAAGGAGAGAGGCAAGUCUCCUUUAUUGUAUAAGAUAUGUGGUCUCGACCAAUGAUCCCACUCCUUUGCAUUCAAUUGGUUUUAGUCUCUGUUUUGCAUGAACUCCAUCAACGGCGACUUCCCACCUUCUUCUUGCUGAUUCGAAAGCUGGAUGUUGACUGAUAAAGAAGGCAGGGACGACGAGGAUGGCUUCCUCAUUGGGUUGUCUCACCGACUCACUCCCUCAACUUAACACUUCCUUUCUUCAACUCCAAGUCCGAGUUAUGGAUGAGAAAGUGGAUGCUCGAUCUAUUGCUUUAUGUUUCGAUUUUGAUCUAAUCCGACUUAUUUCAUGGUUUCUCAGAUAAGGAUGAGAAUUAAAAAAGCACACACCAAGACCUAAACGCUAAGGCUAUCUCUCUUUGAAAACGCUAUGUUCUUGCAGCAACGUCUCACCCAUUAGGUAUAUGAAAAUCCAUUUUCGCUUUUGCUUAAAGCAUCUAACUUGAAGCUUGGAUUUUGUGGUUACCCUUCUUAGCUUUCUUAAGGUUCACACGAAAACGUAGACAAGAGCUGGUGCCGCAAGAACGGCUAGACAGACUGUGCAAGAGCUCGAAUGGCUGUUUGACAAGCACAAACCUCUUACGAAUCAUACUAUUGCGAGAACCCUACAACUAGAAGUUCCUUGAAUGGCGAUUACUCAGCUCUACUGCUCCAAUUUGAAGGCUGGUUGUUGCAAGGACAGAGGUGUUGGGAGGCGA